AGGAUCUUGGGUUGGCCAGAGGGCCAUUGAAGAGGGGUGAGAGCCCUUCCCCGGGGUUGGAAGUUUCUGAGCUUCCCAAGACUUGACUGUGGAAAUCAAACACAUUACUAGACAGAGUUCUGGAAGAACAGCCUUCUACUGGCAGAGACAGAUUCUCACUAUGUGGCCCUCAGUAGAGUGAAAUGUUCAGUGUAAGUGAGUGGACAUCUCUACACCAUUUCUCAAUCACAAGCCUUCCCAGCUUCAUUCCAGGAAGCAGUCCAUUCAUGCAGCCACAGGAUAGAAAAUCGUGAUUCAAGAACUUUGGGUAACUUCAAAGACUUCAUGAAUGAAAGAUGUGAUGGAAAAGAAAAUGGUCGCUCUU
This is a long non-coding RNA of Nycticebus coucang (slow loris), 364 nucleotides long. RefSeq lists it as uncharacterized. The transcript has 3 exons. Lineage: Eukaryota; Metazoa; Chordata; Mammalia; Primates; Lorisidae. The record is from RefSeq and is a predicted model, not a curated record.